This 422-nucleotide ribosomal RNA is filed under the name uncultured bacterium. Its description in RNAcentral is "bacterial SSU rRNA". It matches the Rfam family "Bacterial small subunit ribosomal RNA", at positions 362 to 776 of the family's 1533-position model. The record is from RNAcentral.
UUUUGGACAAUGGGGGCAACCCUGAUCCAGCCAUCCCGCGUGUGCGAUGAAGGCCUUCGGGUUGUAAAGCACUUUUGGCAGGGAAGAAACAGCCUGGGCUAAUAUCCCGGGCGAAUGACGGUACCUGCAGAAUAAGCACCGGCUAACUACAUGCCAGCAGCCGCGGUAAUACGUAGGGUGCAAGCGUUAAUCGGAAUUACUGGGCGUAAAGCGUGCGCAGGCGGUUCGGAAAGAAAGGUGUGAAAUCCCAGAGCUUAACUUUGGAACUGCACUUUUAACUACCGAGCUAGAGUACGUCAGAGGGGGGUAGAAUUCCACGUGUAGCAGUGAAAUGCGUAGAGAUGUGGAGGAAUACCGAUGGCGAAGGCAGCCCCCUGGGAUGAUACUGACGCUCAUGCACGAAAGCGUGGGGAGCAAACAGG